CCUACGGGAGGCAGCAGUGAGGAAUAUUGGUCAAUGGGCGCGAGCCUGAACCAGCCAAGUAGCGUGAAGGAUGACUGCCCUACGGGUUGUAAACUUCUUUUAUAAAGGACUAAAGUGAGGCACGUGUGCCUGUUUGUAUGUACUUUAUGAAUAAGGAUCGGCUAACUCCGUGCCAGCAGCCGCGGUAAUACGGAGGAUCCGAGCGUUAUCCGGAUUUAUUGGGUUUAAAGGGAGCGUAGAUGGGUUGUUAAGUAAGUUGUGAAAGUUUGCGGCUCAACCGUAAAAUUGCAAUUGAUACUGGCAGUCUGGAGUACAGUUGAGGUAGGAGGAAUGCGUGGUGUAGCGGUGAAAUGCUUAGAUAUCACGAAGAACUCCGAUUGCGAAGGCAGCUUACGAAACUGCCACUGACAUUGAUGCUCGAAAGUGUGGGUAUCAAACAGGAUUAGAUACCCUUGUAGUC
Molecule: ribosomal RNA, 460 nt
Filed under: uncultured bacterium
Lineage: Bacteria
Description: partial 16S ribosomal RNA
Rfam family: Bacterial small subunit ribosomal RNA
Source: RNAcentral